UCCGUGGUAGCUCAAUGGCAGAGCAUUCGGCUGUUAACCGAAGGGUUGGAGGUUCGAGCCCUCUCCACGGAGCCA
RNAcentral lists this transfer RNA (75 nucleotides) under Clostridium pascui. RNAcentral describes it as "tRNA-Asn". It matches the Rfam family "tRNA". Rfam says of the family: Transfer RNA (tRNA) molecules are approximately 80 nucleotides in length. Their secondary structure includes four short double-helical elements and three loops (D, anti-codon, and T loops). RNAcentral also lists the same sequence under 5 other names. The record is from RNAcentral. Lineage: Bacteria; Bacillati; Bacillota; Clostridia; Eubacteriales; Clostridiaceae.